AACCAUACCAUUGAAUAAGCUACGUGGGAGUCAGAAAAGGAUGUGAGACUCAAGUACCCUCACUUGAUCCAGUCUGCAGGUUUGCACUUAUUUUAAAUUAGGGGAUCGAAUUUCUUAAGGUAGGGAGAAUGUAAUACCCCACAUUAUUAUUGAAAUAAAAAAAAGGAAUUUUUAAAGGGAGUAAUUAUAUAUAGGAUAAGGAAGUGGCCCAUUCUUUUUCCCACUAUAAUUUUUAU
Molecule: long non-coding RNA, 236 nt
Filed under: Capsicum annuum
Lineage: Eukaryota; Viridiplantae; Streptophyta; Magnoliopsida; Solanales; Solanaceae
Description: long non-coding RNA (CANN_LNC007749)
Source: RNAcentral